RNAcentral lists this ribosomal RNA (471 nucleotides) under uncultured bacterium. Its description in RNAcentral is "partial 16S ribosomal RNA". It matches the Rfam family "Bacterial small subunit ribosomal RNA", at positions 28 to 507 of the family's 1533-position model. The record is from RNAcentral.
GACGAACGCUGGCGGCGUGCUUAACACAUGCAAGUCGAACGAUGAAGCGGUGCUUGCACCGUGGUUUAGUGGCGAACGGGUGAGUAAUACGUGAGUGACCUACCUUUGACUCUGGGAUAAGCCUGGGAAACUGGGUCUAAUACCGGAUACGACCAAUAUCUGCAUGGGGUGUUGGUGGAAAGCGUAAGGGAGUGGUUUUAGAUGGGCUCACGGCCUAUCAGCUUGUUGGUGAGGUAAUGGCUUACCAAGGCGACGACGGGUAGCCGGCCUGAGAGGGUGACCGGCCACACUGGGACUGCGACACGGCCCAGACUCCUACGGGAGGCAGCAGUGGGGAAUAUUGCACAGUGGGCGCAAGCCUGAUGCAGCGACGCCGCGUGAGGGAUGACGGCCUUCGGGUUGUAAACCUCUGUUAGCAUCGAAGAAGCGAAAGUGACGGUAGGUGCAGAGAAAGCGCCGGCUAACUACGUG